GACCCAGUGGUGAAAGGAAUCACAUCCGCCUUCCUUUUAAAGAGACCUACCAAUCAUCUCAGAAGGAGAUCCCGGUUCAAAUCCGGGUUGGGCCC
This is a non-coding RNA of Mycena epipterygia, 95 nucleotides long. NCBI's taxonomy places the organism in Eukaryota, Fungi, Basidiomycota, Agaricomycetes, Agaricales, Mycenaceae. The record is from the annotation of a GenBank genome assembly.